UGGAAACGACUGCUAAUACCGCAUACUCCCUACGGGGGAAAGGAGGGGACCUUCGGGCCUUUCGCGAUUGGAUGAACCCAGGUGGGAUUAGCUAGUUGGUGGGGUAAUGGCUCACCAAGGCGACGAUCCCUAGCUGGUCUGANAGGAUGAUCAGCCACACUGGAACUGAGACACGGUCCAGACUCCUACGGGAGGCAGCAGUGGGGAAUAUUGCACAAUGGGGGAAACCCUGAUGCAGCCAUGCCGCGUGUGUGAAGAAGGCCUUCGGGUUGUAAAGCACUUUCAGCGAGGAGGAAAGGUUGGCGCCUAAUACGUGUCAACUGUGACGUUACUCGCAGAAGAAGCACCGGCUAACUCCGUGCCAGCAGCCGCGGUAAUACGGAGGGUGCAAGCGUUAAUCGGAAUUACUGGGCGUAAAGCGCACGCAGGCGGUUGGAUAAGUUAGAUGUGAAAGCCCCGGGCUCAACCUGGGAAUUGCAUUUAAAACUGUCCAGCUAGAGUCUUGUAGAGGGGGGUAGAAUUCCAGGUGUAGCGGUGAAAUGCGUANAGAUCUGGAGGAAUACCGGUGGCGAAGGCGGCCCCCUGGACAAAGACUGACGCUCANGUGCGAAAGCGUGGGGAGCAAACAGGAUUAAAUACCCUGGUANUCCACNCCNUAAACGAUGUCNAUUUG
Molecule: ribosomal RNA, 673 nt
Filed under: Aeromonas salmonicida
Lineage: Bacteria; Pseudomonadati; Pseudomonadota; Gammaproteobacteria; Aeromonadales; Aeromonadaceae
Description: bacterial SSU rRNA
Rfam family: Bacterial small subunit ribosomal RNA
Source: RNAcentral